AGUCGAACGAUGAACCACUUCGGUGGGGAUUAGUGGCGAACGGGUGAGUAACACGUGGGCAAUCUGCCCUUCACUCUGGGACAAGCCCUGGAAACGGGGUCUAAUACCGGAUAGCACUCCUGCAGGCAUCUGUGGGGGUUGAAAGCUCCGGCGGUGAAGGAUGAGCCCGCGGCCUAUCAGCUUGUUGGUGAGGUAACGGCUCACCAAGGCGACGACGGGUAGCCGGCCUGAGAGGGCGACCGGCCACACUGGGACUGAGACACGGCCCAGACUCCUACGGGAGGCAGCAGUGGGGAAUAUUGCACAAUGGGCGCAAGCCUGAUGCAGCGACGCCGCGUGAGGGAUGACGGCCUUCGGGUUGUAAACCUCUUUCAGCAGGGAAGAAGCGCAAGUGACGGUACCUGCAGAAGAAGCGCCGGCUAACUACGUGCCAGCAGCCGCGGUAAUUCA
RNAcentral lists this ribosomal RNA (450 nucleotides) under Streptomyces sp. HVXM-7-7. RNAcentral's name for it is "bacterial SSU rRNA". It matches the Rfam family "Bacterial small subunit ribosomal RNA", at positions 60 to 527 of the family's 1533-position model. Lineage: Bacteria; Bacillati; Actinomycetota; Actinomycetes; Kitasatosporales; Streptomycetaceae. The record is from RNAcentral.